RNAcentral lists this ribosomal RNA (254 nucleotides) under uncultured bacterium. RNAcentral's name for it is "partial 16S ribosomal RNA". It matches the Rfam family "Bacterial small subunit ribosomal RNA", at positions 524 to 776 of the family's 1533-position model. The record is from RNAcentral.
UACGAAGGGGGCUAGCGUUGCUCGGAAUGACUGGGCGUAAAGGGCGCGUAGGCGGUUCAUACAGUCAGAUGUGAAAUUCCUGGGCUCAACCUGGGGGCUGCAUUUGAUACGUGUGGACUAGAGUGGGGAAGAGGGUCGUGGAAUUCCCAGUGUAGAGGUGAAAUUCGUAGAUAUUGGGAAGAACACCGGUGGCGAAGGCGGCGACCUGGUCCUUGACUGACGCUGAGGCGCGAAAGCGUGGGGGAGCAAACAGG